GACGAACGCUGGCGGCGUGCUUAACACAUGCAAGUCGAGCGGAAAGGCCCUUCGUGGUUCUCGAGCGGCGAACGGGUGCGUCAUACGUGCAUAACCCGAACCAGACUUUGGCUUCAGCCUCAGAUCCGGGGGCUAAUACUGCAUACUCCUUCUACCUCCCCCUGCUUGGUUGGGGAAGUUUCUCUGUGUGGGUUGGACUCGGGGCCUAUCUGCUUGUUGGUGUGGUUGUGGCCUACCAAGGCCGGGACGGGUAGCCGUCAUGAGAGGGCGACAGGCCACACUGGGACUGAGACACGGCCCAGACUCCUACGGGAGGCAGCAGUGGGGAAUAUUGCACAAUGGGCGGAAGCCUGAUGCAGCGACGCCGCGUGAGGGAUGACGGCCUUCGGGUUGUAAGCCUCUUUCAGCAGUGACGAAGCGUAAGUGACGGUACCUGCAGAAGAAGCGCCGGCCAACUACGUG
Molecule: ribosomal RNA, 462 nt
Filed under: uncultured bacterium
Lineage: Bacteria
Description: partial 16S ribosomal RNA
Rfam family: Bacterial small subunit ribosomal RNA
Source: RNAcentral